This 254-nucleotide ribosomal RNA is filed under the name uncultured bacterium. RNAcentral describes it as "partial 16S ribosomal RNA". It matches the Rfam family "Bacterial small subunit ribosomal RNA", at positions 524 to 776 of the family's 1533-position model. The record is from RNAcentral.
UACGUAGGAGGCGAGCGUUGUCCGGAGUUACUGGGCGUAAAGGGUGCGCAGGCGGCGGUUCGCGUGGAUAGGUGAAAUCUCCUGGCUUACCUGGGAGGAUGGUAUCCAGACGGGAUCGCUUGAGGGUCGGAGAGGGGCGUGGAAUUCCGGGUGGAGCGGUGAAAUGCGUAGAGAUCCGGAGGAACACCGACGGCGUAGGCAGCGCCCUGGACGACACCUGACGCUGAGGCACGAAAGCUAGGGGAGCGAAUGGG